GAGGGUAUAGCUCAAGUGGUAGAGUUCAUGCCUGACAUGCACGAGGUCCCAGGUUCAAUCCCCAGUACCUCCU
This 73-nucleotide transfer RNA is filed under the name Camelus bactrianus (Bactrian camel). It matches the Rfam family "tRNA". Rfam says of the family: Transfer RNA (tRNA) molecules are approximately 80 nucleotides in length. Their secondary structure includes four short double-helical elements and three loops (D, anti-codon, and T loops). RNAcentral also lists the same sequence under 3 other names. The record is from Rfam by way of RNAcentral. Lineage: Eukaryota; Metazoa; Chordata; Mammalia; Artiodactyla; Camelidae.